UUCGCGGUCGACGAGGGCCUUCACGCCGUCCCGCAGGCGCGGCGGGAGACCGGUGGGGGCGCCGGUCGCGUCGGUGCCGCGGCCGGCCCGUACGCCC
RNAcentral lists this transfer RNA (97 nucleotides) under Streptomyces nigrescens. Its description in RNAcentral is "tRNA-Arg". Lineage: Bacteria; Bacillati; Actinomycetota; Actinomycetes; Kitasatosporales; Streptomycetaceae. The record is from RNAcentral.